GCGGUGUUCGCAUAGUGGUAUUGCGCCGAAUUGCUGAUUCGGUUGGGGUUUCCCCUCGGGAGUUCGAAUCUCUCACAUCGCG
RNAcentral lists this transfer RNA (82 nucleotides) under Methanobacteriota archaeon. RNAcentral's name for it is "Euryarchaeota archaeon tRNA-Ser". It matches the Rfam family "tRNA". Rfam says of the family: Transfer RNA (tRNA) molecules are approximately 80 nucleotides in length. Their secondary structure includes four short double-helical elements and three loops (D, anti-codon, and T loops). Lineage: Archaea; Methanobacteriati; Methanobacteriota. The record is from RNAcentral.